RNAcentral lists this ribosomal RNA (733 nucleotides) under Escherichia sp. Its description in RNAcentral is "bacterial SSU rRNA". It matches the Rfam family "Bacterial small subunit ribosomal RNA", at positions 18 to 742 of the family's 1533-position model. Lineage: Bacteria; Pseudomonadati; Pseudomonadota; Gammaproteobacteria; Enterobacterales; Enterobacteriaceae. The record is from RNAcentral.
CAUGGCUCAGAUUGAACGCUGGCGGCAGGCCUAACACAUGCAAGUCGAACGGUAACAGGAAGAGCUUGCUUCUUUGCUGACGAGUGGCGGACGGGUGAGUAAUGUCUGGGAAACUGCCUGAUGGAGGGGGAUAACUACUGGAAACGGUAGCUAAUACCGCAUAACGUCGCAAGACCAAAGAGGGGGACCUUCGGGCCUCUUGCCAUCGGAUGUGCCCAGAUGGGAUUAGCUAGUAGGUGGGGUAACGGCUCACCUAGGCGACGAUCCCUAGCUGGUCUGAGAGGAUGACCAGCCACACUGGAACUGAGACACGGUCCAGACUCCUACGGGAGGCAGCAGUGGGGAAUAUUGCACAAUGGGCGCAAGCCUGAUGCAGCCAUGCCGCGUGUAUGAAGAAGGCCUUCGGGUUGUAAAGUACUUUCAGCGGGGAGGAAGGGAGUAAAGUUAAUACCUUUGCUCAUUGACGUUACCCGCAGAAGAAGCACCGGCUAACUCCGUGCCAGCAGCCGCGGUAAUACGGAGGGUGCAAGCGUUAAUCGGAAUUACUGGGCGUAAAGCGCACGCAGGCGGUUUGUUAAGUCAGAUGUGAAAUCCCCGGGCUCAACCUGGGAACUGCAUCUGAUACUGGCAAGCUUGAGUCUCGUAGAGGGGGGUAGAAUUCCAGGUGUAGCGGUGAAAUGCGUAGAGAUCUGGAGGAAUACCGGUGGCGAAGGCGGCCCCCUGACGAAGACCU